RNAcentral lists this ribosomal RNA (450 nucleotides) under uncultured bacterium. RNAcentral's name for it is "partial 16S ribosomal RNA". It matches the Rfam family "Bacterial small subunit ribosomal RNA", at positions 354 to 796 of the family's 1533-position model. The record is from RNAcentral.
GUGGGGAAUUUUGGACAAUGGGGGCAACCCUGAUCCAGCCAUGCCGCGUGCGGGAAGAAGGCCUUCGGGUUGUAAACCGCUUUUGUCAGGGAAGAAAUCCUUUGGGUUAAUACCUCGGAGGGAUGACGGUACCUGAAGAAUAAGCACCGGCUAACUACGUGCCAGCAGCCGCGGUAAUACGUAGGGUGCGAGCGUUAAUCGGAAUUACUGGGCGUAAAGCGUGCGCAGGCGGUUUUGUAAGAUCGAUGUGAAAUCCCCGGGCUCAACCUGGGAACUGCAUUGGUGACUGCAAGGCUGGAGUGCGGCAGAGGGGGAUGGAAUUCCGCGUGUAGCAGUGAAAUGCGUAGAUAUGCGGAGGAACACCGAUGGCGAAGGCAAUCCCCUGGGCCUGCACUGACGCUCAUGCGCGAAAGCGUGGGGAGCAAACAGGAUUAGAUACUCGGGUAGUCC